This 497-nucleotide ribosomal RNA is filed under the name uncultured bacterium. RNAcentral describes it as "partial 16S ribosomal RNA". It matches the Rfam family "Bacterial small subunit ribosomal RNA", at positions 28 to 507 of the family's 1533-position model. The record is from RNAcentral.
GAUGAACGCUGGCGGCGUGCCUAAUACAUGCAAGUCGAGCGGACGGACGAGACGCUCGCUUCACUCAUGUUAGCGACGGAUGGGUGAGUAAUACGUGGUCAACCCACCUAUACGACUGGGAUAACUUCGGGAAACCGGAGCUAAUACCGGAUACUAUUUUGAACCGCAUGGUUCAAAAGUGAAAGACGGUCUUGCUGUCACUUAUGGAUUGAUCCGCGCUGCAUUAGCUAGUUGGUAAGGUAACGGCUUACCAAGGCAACGAUGCAUAGCCGACCUGAGCGGGGGUUCGGCGACUGUGAGACUGAGACACGGUCCAGGCACCUACGGGAGGCAGCGGUAGGGAAGCGUCCGCGAUGGGCGAAAGCCUGACGGAGCAACGCCGCGUGAGUGAUGAGGGGCUUCGUGUCGUAAAACGCUGUUAGUAGUGAAAAACAUAUGUGUAAGGGACUGUGCAUAUCUUGACGGUACCUAGACAGAAAGCCACGGCUAACUACGUG